Non-coding RNA from Macaca mulatta (Rhesus monkey), 356 nucleotides. The record is from RefSeq and is a predicted model, not a curated record. NCBI's taxonomy places the organism in Eukaryota, Metazoa, Chordata, Mammalia, Primates, Cercopithecidae.
AGGGGGGCUGGGAGACUUAUUAACUGUGACCAUACAAGUGUGAGAAUUACAGAAAACUGAAUUUUCUGAGACAGCCAGUCAUGUCAGUGUCAUCCUAUUGCCUACAUAACAACUUGUGGAACAUAGUUAGCUUUCAAGUAUUUGUUGGAUGAACGGAGACAAGGCCUACCAACAUUAAGGACCAGAGAAACAUGCCAACCAAGAAGCUGCUCCUUUCACAAAGGGAAUUUGACAAAAGAAACAAUACAUAAAACUGGACUAUGCAAAAUUCAUUGUUGCUCUGUUUAGUUUCUGAGGUGUGAUUUCUGAGAGGAUAUCACGAUUCAAGAAUAAAUAUUUUCUUCUUUUGAUGAUUA